This 1438-nucleotide ribosomal RNA is filed under the name Staphylococcus saprophyticus. RNAcentral's name for it is "bacterial SSU rRNA". It matches the Rfam family "Bacterial small subunit ribosomal RNA". Lineage: Bacteria; Bacillati; Bacillota; Bacilli; Caryophanales; Staphylococcaceae. The record is from RNAcentral.
UCGAGCGAACAGAUAAGGAGCUUGCUCCUUUGACGUUAGCGGCGGACGGGUGAGUAACACGUGGGUAACCUACCUAUAAGACUGGGAUAACUUCGGGAAACCGGAGCUAAUACCGGAUAACAUUUGGAACCGCAUGGUUCUAAAGUGAAAGAUGGUUUUGCUAUCACUUAUAGAUGGACCCGCGCCGUAUUAGCUAGUUGGUAAGGUAACGGCUUACCAAGGCGACGAUACGUAGCCGACCUGAGAGGGUGAUCGGCCACACUGGAACUGAGACACGGUCCAGACUCCUACGGGAGGCAGCAGUAGGGAAUCUUCCGCAAUGGGCGAAAGCCUGACGGAGCAACGCCGCGUGAGUGAUGAAGGGUUUCGGCUCGUAAAACUCUGUUAUUAGGGAAGAACAAACGUGUAAGUAACUGUGCACGUCUUGACGGUACCUAAUCAGAAAGCCACGGCUAACUACGUGCCAGCAGCCGCGGUAAUACGUAGGUGGCAAGCGUUAUCCGGAAUUAUUGGGCGUAAAGCGCGCGUAGGCGGUUUCUUAAGUCUGAUGUGAAAGCCCACGGCUCAACCGUGGAGGGUCAUUGGAAACUGGGAAACUUGACUGGGAAACUUGAGAGCAGAAGUGGAAAGUGGAAUUCCAUGUGUAGCGGUGAAAUGCGCAGAGAUAUGGAGGAACACCAGUGGCGAAGGCGACUUUCUGGUCUGUAACUGACGCUGAUGUGCGAAAGCGUGGGGAUCAAACAGGAUUAGAUACCCUGGUAGUCCACGCCGUAAACGAUGAGUGCUAAGUGUUAGGGGGUUUCCGCCCCUUAGUGCUGCAGCUAACGCAUUAAGCACUCCGCCUGGGGAGUACGACCGCAAGGUUGAAACUCAAAGGAAUUGACGGGGACCCGCACAAGCGGUGGAGCAUGUGGUUUAAUUCGAAGCAACGCGAAGAACCUUACCAAAUCUUGACAUCCUUUGAAAACUCUAGAGAUAGAGCCUUCCCCUUCGGGGGACAAAGUGACAGGUGGUGCAUGGUUGUCGUCAGCUCGUGUCGUGAGAUGUUGGGUUAAGUCCCGCAACGAGCGCAACCCUUAAGCUUAGUUGCCAUCAUUAAGUUGGGCACUCUAGGUUGACUGCCGGUGACAAACCGGAGGAAGGUGGGGAUGACGUCAAAUCAUCAUGCCCCUUAUGAUUUGGGCUACACACGUGCUACAAUGGACAAUACAAAGGGCAGCUAAACCGCGAGGUCAUGCAAAUCCCAUAAAGUUGUUCUCAGUUCGGAUUGUAGUCUGCAACUCGACUACAUGAAGCUGGAAUCGCUAGUAAUCGUAGAUCAGCAUGCUACGGUGAAUACGUUCCCGGGUCUUGUACACACCGCCCGUCACACCACGAGAGUUUGUAACACCCGAAGCCGGUGGAGUAACCAUUUAUGGAGCUAGCCGUCGAAGGUGGG